RNAcentral lists this long non-coding RNA (210 nucleotides) under Elaeis guineensis (African oil palm). RNAcentral describes it as "long non-coding RNA (EGUI_LNC051383)". The record is from RNAcentral. Lineage: Eukaryota; Viridiplantae; Streptophyta; Magnoliopsida; Arecales; Arecaceae.
AUCAAGUCACAAAAAGACUAGACAAGCUGGUCUAUUAGACUGGCGAGUCUAAAUUCUCCCACUGACUUCAUCAAGUCAUGAAGAAUACUAGAGACAGACUGGUCUAGAGAUACCUAAAUCAGUCACACUAAUUUACCUUAAUGACAUGGAUCAGCUCGAAUUAAUCAGUGAUCUAAUCAAAAUAUAAUCUAUCAAAUUAGCCAGAUAAGU